UGCCACAGCUAUCAUGAUCAUGGAAAACGGUAUAAAGGUUCCUAAAAAAAUUAAAAAUAGAGUUACCAUAUGAUCCCAUACAAAAUGGGAUUGAGAUACCAAACAAUCCAACUUCUGAGUAUAUACUAGAAGAAAAUGAGAUCAGUAUUUUAAAGAGAUAUGUGCACCCUCAGGUUCAUUGCAGUAUCAUUCAAAAUAGCGAAGAUGUGGAAACUGCCUUAGUGUCCAUUGGUGCGUGGAUGGAUAAGAAAAUGUGGUACAGAUAAAUUUGAUGGAAUAUUAUUCAGCCUUAAAAAAACAAGGAAAUCCUGUAUUUGUGACAGCUUGGAUUAUGGACAUACCAAGAAGACAGCCAUUAGGAAGCCAGGAAAAGCACCCUCAGCAGAAUCCAACCAUGCCAGCUCCCUGAUCUUGGACUUCCAGCCUCCAGAACUGUGAGAAAAUAAAUUCUUGUUUUUUAAGCCA
Molecule: long non-coding RNA, 465 nt
Organism: Homo sapiens (human)
Lineage: Eukaryota; Metazoa; Chordata; Mammalia; Primates; Hominidae
Exons: 2
Source: RefSeq, a predicted model, not a curated record